CUUGGUGACGAUAGCGGAGAGGUCACACCUGUUCCCAUGCCGAACACAGUAGUUAAGCUCUCCAGCGCCCAUGGUAGUUGGGGCUCGCGCCCCCCCUGCGAGAGUAGGACGUUGCCAAGC
Molecule: ribosomal RNA, 120 nt
Filed under: Gracilibacillus boraciitolerans
Lineage: Bacteria; Bacillati; Bacillota; Bacilli; Caryophanales; Bacillaceae
Also listed under: 1 other name
Source: RNAcentral